Molecule: ribosomal RNA, 565 nt
Filed under: uncultured bacterium
Lineage: Bacteria
Description: bacterial SSU rRNA
Rfam family: Bacterial small subunit ribosomal RNA
Source: RNAcentral
CCUACGGGAGGCAGCAGCAAGGGAUAUUGCGCAAUGGGCGAAAGCCUGACGCAGCGACGCCGCGUGAGGGACGAAGGCCUUCGGGUCGUAAACCUCUUUUCUUGGUGAAGAGUAAGGACGGUAAUCAAGGAAUAAGCCCCGGCUAACUACGUGCGCAUCCAGCCGCGGUAAUACGUAAGGGGCGAGCGUUAUCCGGAUUCACUGGGCGUAAAGAGCGUGUAGGCGGCUUCCAAAGUUGGUAGUGAAAGGUCCUGGCUUAACUGGGAUAUGCCUGCCAAUACUGGGGAGCUAGAGGGCAGCAGAGGAAAGUGGAACUCGCGGUGUAGCGGUGAAAUGUGUAGAUAUCGCGAGGAACACCAGUGGUGAAGGCGGCUUUGUGGGCUGUUCCUGACGCUGAGACGCGAAAGCGUGGGGAGUGAAGCGGAUUAGAUACCCGCGUAAUCCACGCCUUAAUCGGUGGAUACUAGGUAUGGGGGGUAUCGACCCUCUCCGUGCCGAAGCUAACGCCUUAAGUAUCCCGCCUGGGGACUACGUCCGCAAGGCUAAAACUCAAAGGAAUUGACGG